CCGAGCUGAGAUGGGAGGGAGACAAAAAAUAAAAUAAAAAAGAAACGUGGAAUAUGAAAAUGAUAUGAAAAGUAUAGGAUAUGUUAAUCACUUUUUAUUGUGUGGGAAUUUCUGCGAUUGCUCCAGAAAAUGCUAUAGAAAUGGUUGUAAGAGCCGCUGAGUGGUCGAAACAUUAACGUUAAUAAAAGAAAUAUUACAAAUCCUGGCCAACAUGGACAAAUUGAGAACAUCAUAAUAUGAAGGAAUAACUUUACCCAGAGUUCCCUGCAUCUUUAAGGAAAAACACAGCAAAUUAAAAAUUAAUGGGGAAUGUUUGUCAUUCGAAAGAACAUUCUUUGGCAUUUGGCCGCUGCUACGUCUCAGAGAGUCCAUCCGUUGAGUCCAAUUUUCGCUGACUCAAUCGAGCAGUUCGACACGUGUGAUGUUUUGCUUCAAGGUCUAAAUCAAAGGGGGAUAUCAGACGAUCUUAAUGGCCAAUUGGCCGACCCAAA
This is a long non-coding RNA of Ceratitis capitata (Mediterranean fruit fly), 491 nucleotides long. RefSeq lists it as uncharacterized. Lineage: Eukaryota; Metazoa; Arthropoda; Insecta; Diptera; Tephritidae. The transcript is spliced from 3 exons. The record is from RefSeq and is a predicted model, not a curated record.